This 253-nucleotide ribosomal RNA is filed under the name uncultured bacterium. RNAcentral's name for it is "partial 16S ribosomal RNA". It matches the Rfam family "Bacterial small subunit ribosomal RNA", at positions 524 to 776 of the family's 1533-position model. The record is from RNAcentral.
UACAGAGGUCCCAAGCGUUGUUCGGAUUCACUGGGCGUAAAGGGUGCGUAGGUGGUGAGGUAAGUCGGAUGUGAAAGCUCGGAGCUCAACUCCGAAAUGGCAUUGGAAACUACCUUGCUCGAGGGUUGGAGGGGGGACUGGAAUACUUGGUGUAGCAGUGAAAUGCGUAGAUAUCGGGAGGAACACCUGUGGCGAAAGCGGCUCACUGGACCAUUACUGACGCUGAGGCUCGAAAGCUAGGGGAGCAAACAGG